Molecule: long non-coding RNA, 41467 nt
Filed under: Triticum aestivum (bread wheat)
Lineage: Eukaryota; Viridiplantae; Streptophyta; Magnoliopsida; Poales; Poaceae
Description: long non-coding RNA (TAES_LNC005196)
Rfam family: MIR1120/MIR1122 microRNA precursor family (bases 3333-3418)
Source: RNAcentral
UAAACAGUCGAUGUUCUGUGACAGAGGCGGUGAAGCCUGCUGCUAGUUACAGUAUUAUUAUGUCGUGUCUGUCAUCUGAGACUUGAGGUUGUGAUGGUUAUUGUUUCGCUCCGGGUGGUCGGAGUUAUUCCAGUGCGAGUUGGAACAUUCGUGGGUUAAAUGGGCCACGAUGUCACGUCUAAGUAAUAUAUUAUUCUAGUUCGUUGGUAUUUCUGCUGCCCAUUGUUAUAUUUUCUUACUCCUGUGCUGUUCUUUUUUGUUGAGUUAUUUACUGGAUUGGUUACUCUGUUGUUUUGGAGUUCACUGGACUGAGUGGUCGGAGUGUCAAAUUUUAUGCCGUGGGUCGUCGCAAGGCAGAUGAAGGUGCCAGGAUCAGGCUGUGGACGACGAAACCGGUGAGUUCUGCCUCUACUGGCUAUCUUCAGAUCGCCCCCACACCAUGAUAUUAGUCUAAGUUACUACCUUCAUAAUGCAAAGUAACAUGAUAGUAGUGUCAUAGAUGACUUUAUUUAUUAGUUUGUAGACUCAUCUUGUCUAGCGCUAUGUUACAGUAACAUAUUAUGUUACCACCUCACAUUAAAUAUUUGCCAUAUAAGCAAAAAAUUCUUGGAGUGUGCUAUGUUACUAGCUAAGUUACUCCCACUAUGACUAGCCUUAGUACUUUGAUCUUUUGGCCCCUUUUACUAUUGGAGAACCUAGCUUUGAUGAAGGAAAAUCAAUUCAUUCUCCUAAAGACGUGUCUCAUUCCUAUAGGCUAAGGAUAGGAUUUUUUAGUGAGUGCAGUAUGUUUUUUUCCUUUGAUUUGAAAUUAGAAGGAUUGGUUCCUAAAAUUGAGUGUCUAAUGUUUUUUUCCUUUGAACUAAAAUGAGAAGGAUCGGUUCCUAUUUCUAUGAUUCCUUUGAACUGAAAUUUGAAGGAUUGUUUCCUAUCCUAUAUAGGAAUAGGAAUUUAUACUUCAAAGAAAUAUUUCCUACAAAAUUUGUAUCCUUCACCUUGAACUUGCAGACAAAAGACAAUUCAAACCCUAAACUUCUAAUUCCUGAAAUUAGCACAUCAAACUCUUUAAUCUCGGUCUAUUUUAAACCUUGAACGCGUUUUGGUCUAUUUUAAACUUUGAGGGGUCCCAAACAUGGCAGCUCAAACCUGGGAUAGUUGGCUGUGGCCGAGCGCGACUGGGCUGGCCCACCUUUUCCGUAACACGUGAGUUAAAAAUUUGAAAAAAAAAGAGAGAGCACGGGGAAUCGAUUUUGCAACCUGCUGCCGAACUCGUCUUGAUAGCCACUCUAACUGAUGGGUAUUGGUGAUCAAUACGAAGCGCAAAGAAUAUUUGACCACAUACCGCAUCAUCGACAUUUAAAAACAUUUCUGAAAUUUUUCGAAAUGUUUUCUUAGAAAUUGUCAACAAUUUUGAAAUCCAAACAUUUUCUGGAAUUUUUGGAAUCAUGAUCUUCUUUAGAAAACAUAAACUAAUUUUGAAAACGUGAACCAUUUUUGAAAUUCACAAACACUUUUUAAAAAAACACUACUUUGAAACCUGAACAAAAUUUUGAAAUGCGAACAAAUUCUGAUAAUUUGUUCCCAUUUGUUCAAAAAUUAGGAAGUUUGAACUUUAAAUUUUUGUUCAGAUUUCAAAAUUUGUUCCCACUUUUACAAAAAAUGUUUAUGUUUAAAAACUGUCUUGUUUUGAAAAAUUGUUCGCACUUUAAUUUUUCAGGUUUAAUUUUUUUUCGUGUUUUCAAAAAAUUUGUUCAUUUUUUAAAUAUUGCCACUUAAAAAAAUUCAGGGAUUUAAAAAAUGGUUCACGUUUUCAAUAUUUCUUUGUGUUUUUCAAAAACUGUUUGUAAUUAAAAAAAUCGCAUUUCUGCAAAAUCGUGUGGAAUUUUUUUUUAAGAAUAUUCAGAUUUCAAACUUGUUGAUAAUUUUUAAUAAAAUGUUCCAAAUCUCGACAUUGCGUUGUGUAGUUAAAUAUUUUGCGCUUCUCAUUUAUAACCAAAAGUUAUCAGUUAGAGUGGUUAGUGGGAGUAGUUUAGAAGCACCCGGUCCCAAGUUUGAUUCCUCGUGAGUCUCGGUUUUAUGGAUAGUUUUAAGCCUCGCGUUACAAAAAAGAAAAACAUGCUUCGCUCCUGGUGGGCUGGCCCAGUCGCCUUCGGCCGCAGCCAGACCUGCCAUGUCAACAUUGCUAAAAAAAAACCUGCCAUGUCAACAAUCUCUUUGUUAACUCGCUCAGGGUUCAAAACAGACUGGAAUCUGAGAGUCGAUGUGCUUUCGUCUACAAGUUUAAGGUUUGUUUUGGAAUUUUUUCGAAAGGGGUUUGCUAGUGGGAUCUACACUGUAACUCUCUUCCUCUGCUCCAUCAUGGCACUUUUGUUCCAUCCCGGUGUUGUCCUGGCGCAUAAUCUGGAAGUGCUGGGCCUUGCUUAACAUCAAUUUUUUUUGCUCUGCCCUCUUUGGUCCGAGGAGAAUGAAAUCAUGCAUCACCUUCUUUCUCGGGUGCAUUUUCUCCCACACCACUGGGCAUGAAAAUUCUGUCGUGCUUCCACCUCAACAUCUGAAAUUUCGAUGUGCUUUCGUCUACAAAUUUAAGGUUUGUUUUGGAUUUUUUCCGGAAGGGGUUCGCUAGUGGCAUCUACACUGUAACCCUCUUCCUCUGCUCCGUCAUGGCACUUUUGUUCCAUCCUGGCGUCGUCCUAGCGCAUAAUCUGGAAGUGCUGGGCCUUGCUUAACAUCAAUUUUUUUUGCUCUGCGCUCCUUGGUUCGAGGAGAAUGAAAUCAUGCAUCACCUUCUUUCUCGGGUGCAUUUUCUCCCACACCACUGGGCAUGAAAAUUCUGUCGUGCUUCCACCUCAACAUCUGACCAUCAGACGGCACAGCGGCCUUCUUCAAUUGAUGUGAGGUCACGACUGCGUCAUCCACCGGCAUGUGCAACGCUUUCAUCUUCGACGGUAUGCGGCCAUGACAUCAAAGGCACACUCUGAGCUUGCACCGGAGCCAAAGGCUUAGAUAAAAUUAUACUCCUUCUGUCUCGAAUGUCUCAAUUUUAUACUAAGUUUAGUACAAAAUUAUAUUAAAAUUGAGACAGUUAUUUUGAGACGGAGGGAGUACUUGUAACAUGAACCUGAUGUGCCGGUUUUUGUGACUCCAGCUUGUGCGCAUUACCAGGAGUUGCACCCUGUAUUUUCUCUCCCCUAUCAAUGAGACGAUACACAAUUAUACAUAUUCAUGAAAAAAAAAAAUGCUGCGCGCGGCUAAGUUAGUAUGCUGCGCGAGUUGGAACGUGUCUGUGGCAACGCGGCGUGCAGUGGCAUGGGACGGGAUACGAGUCCGUUUUGUAGGUACUCCCUCUGUAAAUAAAUAUAUGAGCGUUUAGAUCACUAAGUAGUGAUCUAAACGCUCAUAUAUUUAUUUACAGAGGGAGUAGGAUGCAGCGGCACGCAGUGCAGAGCCGGUGACAUGGUGCGACUGCUUUUGUUCGUUCAGGUGCCUCCUCACAGUCACACUCGCAAUGGCAGUCACGUCCCGUCGUCCGGCUUCCGUUUGACGGCCGGUCGGUCGAGGGCGAGAAGGAAUCGGCAGCAGGAGAGGAGUUUUUCCUUGGUCUCGAAGCAUAUAAAGCGUCUCUUGCCUGCAGCGCAAUCCCAUUUGAUUCUUCCGAGCUAGUAGUAGAAGCCUAGAACCCAGCCCGUCGCGGCAGCAUGCGAGCUUUGCCUUGCCGUGCCUGCAGCUCGUCCUCCCCGCCGGGUCGGCAGUGGCCGGCGGUAGCUUUACCCUAGAUUUGGCCCGGCAGGGAGCCAACCAAAAGCUGCCGCGACGAGACGCCGGCCUCGGAGGCCGCGCCGGUGGGCGCUGAACCGGAGAGGGAUCGGGUCACAUGGGAGGCACUCGCCUCGCCUACCUCGCUGCCGGCUGCUUUUUCCUCCCCUCCCGGCCAUCUUUGACUGCCUAUAUAUUUGGGGAACCUAGACUAGAGGGAGGGAGGGAGGAGUCUUCCAGGCCAAGAUAUCUUUGAUGCUGCCUGCCUCUGCCUCUGCCUGAUUGAUUGGUUGAUGAUUCCUCGUCGCGCACUAGUCGUACCUUGCACUGUCAGCGCUCUGCUCACGCACUUGAGCUCCCAGGGACAUAUUUGUAGAUGAGGAGAUUCACAAACUAUCUGAACAAUCAGUUACACCUUUGUAUAUAAAAAGAUACAACCAGUAUCUGCUUUGCUUUCUUUGGUAUGUGAAAAAUUUACCGUAGAACAAGUGCUUCAAAAAAGAAAAAAGCCCACACAUUUUCUCCUUUGAGACUACAACAUAAUCCUUCAGUUUCAAAAUAUAUGUGUUUUUUUGUACUUUGCAGCUUCCAAAUUUGACAAUUAUAAACUAUGUUGUGCUAUGAUUUCUUCUUCUUUUAAUGAUACCAUUUACAUUUAACCAACUAAGUUAUUUUAGGUACCUAGUGAUAUUUUUUUAUCAACAACAUAUACAAUGCUUCCCAAAAAGACAUAAAAAACGGAUUUUAUUGGAAAUAUUGAUACAAGAUGCAUCUAAGCACACAAUUCAAUACACGACUUGAGAAAAAGGUUAACCGGACCAACUGUUCACAUCAUACUCGAUACCCCGCUCAUCACCGUGAAAUUAGAUAUAUAUAGUUUUCUAAUAUUUAUAUAUAGUCUGUGUAGAAUACUAAUUCUGUCAUUACUAUUUUAAACUACGAGAGAAAUUUUUGCAUAAGCAAAAAAGUCUUAACACGAAAAAUUGUACACGUCACAAUUAAAACCCACUUAAAAUACAUUAAUACAUGUUGCAUUGUAGAGGAUUCUCAUGUGUACAUCAGACGAGUGCUAGUGAUCUCUCGGGAGAGAUAGACUAGAGGUCCGAGUGAGGAAAUGCCAUGUAACUCGAGUGACGACGUCGGCGUGUGGUCCGAUUCUCUGGAGAGACGCCACUCAUUAACACGGGGGAAUGCCAGUGCGGGCCAUCUUCGAGUCCAAAUUUAUGAGGCUCGCGCCUUGGAGCCUAGAAGAAGGGCCAAGUUAACCCGUAGAGGGGCGUCGAGCUCUUCCCAUCGCAAUCCUGAAGAUGACUUGAGUCGGGUUUGAUUAGGUGUCCGAGUGCACGGUAACCCUUGGAGGGCGAUUGGUCGGACCGACGAGUGUUACUUAGGAAAGGAAUCGGAAGCGACCAAUCGAGUUGAAUCGUAGCCAGAAUCUUGUUGUUCGAAAUUUCGCAUGCGCGCGUGGAAGUGGUUGCACCGCGGCUAGUGGGCAAAGUGGGGCACGACGCCUCGAUUUUCGCCCAGGAAAUCCGCCACGUGCCCUGUUUCCUCUGCGCGGUGAAUGCGGCGGGCGCUGUUGGAUCCAUAGAUCGAGGUCGGAGAUUCACGGGGCAGAUUUACCCGUGGUAUAAAGAGCGAACAAACUAGGGCGGAGGGGAUAGAUCCCCUUGUCACCUCGCCCACUCCGUUGUUCCUCGACUCAUCCACGUCCACCCUAAGCAUCAUCCCACUACGAUAGAAUGGGGGAACGACUCGACGGUGAGGCUGGAGAAGGCGAAGGCGGGGAAGAGCGCAUCGUCGAGCGGCGGUCCACCGGCGGGCCGAACCGAGGGGGACUGGAUGCCGUCCAGGGUCACGCGGAAGAGAUUGCUGGAAUUGGAGGACGAAAAGUUGAUUUCGAAGGGCCGUUGGAGGUUGCCGGAGGCAGACGAGGUAGAGCCCGCACCACAGGCGGACGAGCAGGCCCUCCUCGUUGCCCACAUCGAGAGAGGUUUUUCUUUGCCAUCCCAUCCUUUUUUCCGCGCAUUCCCGGACUUCUUCGGGGCGCAGCUCCACCAACUUCCGCCGAAUGCCAUCAUCUAUCUGUAUGCUUUUGUCUUACUCUGUGAGAAUGUCAUCGGUUGCUACCCCCACCGGGUGCUGUUCAAGCACAUUUUCACCUGUCGGUCGAUGACCGUGAAGAAGGAUUCGCUGGAUGGGGCGAAGACCAACGUGACCUAGCAGUGUGGCGGACUGGGCAUACAGCUCAGGGGGCGGAGCGCCUUCCCCAAGAUGAGCUUCCCCAACUCCGUCAAGGGCUGGCAUGACAGUUGGUUUUACUGGAGGGACCUCCCGAGUGCUAGAUCUCUAAAUGGACUUCCCCCUUACUCGAGGGUGAGAGUUGUUGCUCCCCCGUCCCUCGAGGUAGCCAAGGAUGAGAAAGUAGAUGUAGGUAUUCUAGUCAACGCCUUGGUUGGAGUUGUGAGGGUCGGAGUUGACAGGAUGGACCUGCUAGAGGUGUUCCUCAGUCGGAGGAUCUAACUGCUGUAGGCCAGGGCGCACCCCAUGUGGAUGAAGAUCGGCCGGGUGAUCCAAUUCGAGUUCAUCCCGAGGACUUGACUGAGAAGGCCAUAGAGUGAAAGCUCAAGGCCAUCACGUCCGCAUGAGACAACCCGCGGGGCGCCAGGAAAGUGCCCGCUUAAGACCAGGAGCACCCGCCUGUCAAUGUAAGUUUGCAUCUAGAUCAACCGAGUCAUUCUCUGUAACGACUUUCUCAUGCUUGGAUCUGAUUUCAAUGUGAUUUCUUUUCAGCAGAGCUUCCAGAAGGUGAUUUCGCAGGUACCAAAUGUCGAUCACGCCCUAGGGGAUGUGGCGAGCGGCACCGAGCAUCAUCAUUAUGAGGAGGAGGAGGAGUGCGACGAGGAGGAAGAGAGCGACAUGACGAGAGCACCGAGGAAGGUGAGGAGGCAGAGUCCUCCCCAUCAGAAGAAUUUCCCAGGGAGCCUCGCACCAAAGCACACCAUGAUUCGAGCGCCCGCGUGGUUGGCAUUCGGGCGCCGAGUGGCUCGAAGCCGACUGCUACAGCUCCUGCCACUCGCAGCUUGAAGCGCAAGCGGGCAGAGUCUACGGAGUCAGUCAAGAAACAACGGAAGCAUGUUUCUACCAAGCCUCGGAAGGCCGACCUGCCGAAGAUCAUGGUGGUCAUGCCAGUGGCUUCGACGUAAGUGUUAGAGACCGAAUUCUUUCUUUGUGCAAAUUUGUCUUGAUAGAUAGUCGAGCGAUUCUGUGAUUGUAGCAAUGAGACAUCGACGACUUCACUGGACCCGAAUGCCCCUAGGAAGGGCCAGACUAAAGCCGACGCCGCGGACGCUACCACUUCCAAAGGUAUUGACUGGUUCAUUCUUCGAAUCAUGUCCGAGUGACCCACAUGAUGAUGUCUUAUUACUCGUGUGAGUGUAGCACCAACUGACACAAUCCAGCUUGAUGAUGAUGACAAGGCCGACCCGCCAAACCCAUAGGUUGACGAGAGGGUGCCAACUGGCACCGAUAUUAUCUUGCGGGAUGCUUCACCAAGCCGAGUGGGCCGCGACUCUCCAGCCAAAGCUGCUGUGAAGCCCGCGGGGUCCAAGCCCUCUGGCCUGGGCUGGUUCCAAGCUUGUGGCCACAACUCUGUCUCCUAAACCCUUAUCCAUGCUGAAGCCAGCCCUUGUCACCGCCUUCACGUUGUACAGGGUCCUGGAGGACCAGGUGGGGGCGAGCAAGGAGGCUCUGAUUCAAGUCAAGGUGAGGAACAAGCGACUGAAGGAGGCAUAUGACGAGAGUGAAGCGUUGCAGACCAACGCCCGAGUAAGUACCAUUGUAAGUACGCUUUUUAGUCAGAGUCUUGAAGUUUUUGAGUUUUCUUCUUGUUGGUGCAAUAUCUUCCUACCUAUGUUUUGGAGAUUGUUGACAGAAACAGGUAUGGACUGAUUUGUUUGCUAGUGCAUACAGAGAGAAAUAGUCCAUACAGAACCGCAAAGAAUGUUGUCUCCGGGGCCAAGUUCGAGGAACUUCACCGAAGUAUAUCUGCAUUGUAGACAAGAAUGAGCUGCAUUUGUUGAAGACAUGUAUGCGAGAAGAUUGAUGUGAAGGAAUUAACCCCUCGAACGUUUACUGCUGAAGCGAAGCAUUUGGUUCGGUAUCGUCGUCCAAAGAAAUUGACUGCAGCGAACGGAAGUCGAAGACAAAUUGAAGACAUAAUAUUCUUUUCGUCUUUGUUCUUUGGUUCAUUUGAGUCAUAAGACCUCUGUACUAUUAAGAGGGGUAUAGUUUCUCGAAGCUUAGAUCCGCUGUGAUGCUUAGCACAAAACCUAUGAAAGAUGCGAGAGAAAUCUUUUUAUGCUCCGAAUGAUUACCUGGCAGCAGUAGACGUUAUUCUUCGUGCUGCAGGAGAUAUAUUCUGGGAGUUAGCAUUACUUGCUCCGCAAGUAAUGUUACCGUUAUCCUCAAAUUUCCGACCGUUGGACUCGUGUCGUUCAGUCAUUGGGUGCUCCUCGUGUCCAAUUUGGUCAUUUCCCAUCAGGGAAGGUUGCACCUACAAAUAGCCACCCGCUCCAACAUUGUCCGUUGGCUGCUCCGCUUGAGAUUUCUGAGAAGAUUGAUUUGAGCAACCCCUUUCCGAGUGAUUUGAGUUUAAGAUCCACCGAGAGAAAAAUCAAGAUCCCAAACUUAGACAGUGGUUUAGCAUCACAGUAGUUUUGAGUUAGAGUUCUUGUACCUAUUACUCUUGAGAGCUGUGCACUCUCUAGACGGAUAGGUUUCCGCUCGAUGUUGAAGAGUUGUUGUCUUGACCGAGCUAGAUCUUCAGCAACCAAGAGUGAUUGUGGUUUGCGAAGGUCGACCGAAGCUUCUUCAAUGCUCGGAUUCAGGUAGAAAGUAAGAGCAGUAGCAUAUUCACAGGAGAGCUUUGUACUUGAAAUUAGUAGUCCCGGUAGUUGGAAAAAAGCUCUGAAUAUAGAUUCAAAGCAUCAAGAUUGGUAGUCUAUCAUUAGUUGGCCAGUCAUAGCAAUUUAAGUAGAAAGCUUGCUUUGGGAUUAGAUCAUUCAACUAUGUUGUGACUAAGCAGAUAUGUCUAUUGUGCCCGGCAAAAACAUAUUUGCAAGGAGUUUCCCAAAGGCUUUCUCAUUCAUAAAAAACAAUUUCAAGUAUAUUUCCGUUCUCCAUUCUCUGCUCGGAUGAUUGCCACUUGUGUGAAUUUCAUUGCUGUGGGUCCCGUGUGUGCUCGAAUAAGAUUGUUUUAGGAUUCUAUUUAGUUGAAUUUCUUGACUCUGCGGUGCUGGUUAUCGAGUUUAUGGCGCCACCGACCAUCCAAAAAGAACACCGUCAAGUAUCUACCAUGAGUGAAAUCAACUAGAGUCUGAUCAGCUUUGAGUUGAAGGAGAAUAGGUCGAAGAGAGUUUAUCUUCCGUGUUAAGUGACAACCCCUCCAACCAAACGUAGCUCUUUGGCAAAAGGGUGAACUGGUCUACCAAAUAUGAUUGUCGCCAUCGAUCACCACUGGUUCAUUCUACUUUACUGCAAUUCCUUCAGCAGUUUACAUUCGUGUUCCGUGUCGAUAGUUUACCUGAUCAUUAUCAUCUGUUGUGUUCCCUUUAUGUAUCGUUCUAUUCUGUUGUCAACCUCGGACAUCAUUGUGUUCAUAUCAUUUCAUUUUCAUCACUUGUUUUCAUUUGUCACUGUCAUAUUCCUCGGUUCAUCUGUGAUAUCUUACUAGAGUUUUAUUUCUCUAUGCGUAUCAUGUUGUGUCUCAUUCUACUGCAUUUGUUAGCUUGUUGCAUUACUCUGAUCAUAGUUAAACCUAUGAUUUCCCAAGCUCGUACUGUUGUCACUUCCUUCAUCAAGGAAUAUUCUUCUGAAGAUGAAGAAUGAUUUAGUUCAUUUCCCUCUUUCCAUUAUUCCGCUGCUGUGAUUGGGAAACAUUCAAAAUAAUUUUUGAAUCUGCCAUUCACCCCCUCUGGUCGAUAUACUCUCAGUCCUAACAAAUGUAUCAGAGCAGGUACUCCAUGUCUCUGUUUAUUAAAGGUCUAACGUCCUUGGAGUUUUGAGUAUGUCAUUUGCAGGUAGAUCCUCGCACUAUGAAAGAUUUCCUAUCUUCGAUGGAAAUGACUAUCUCUACUGGAAGGCAAGCAUGAGAUUCAGAAUUCAAACUAUCAACUAUGAUCUGUGGUAGAUUGUGGAAAGUGGCUACACUAUUCAGCAACCAGAUGAUCCCAAUUUCGAUGACAAAGGAAAUCUGUAGCUGGAUGCUCAAGCAAAAGAUAUCAUUUGUAGCAUUCUCUCGAAAGACAUUUUCUUUCGGUUCCAAAAGCUCGACACUGCCAAGCAACUUUGGGAUGCUAUCAAAAAUGCCCAUGAAGAAUUUUUUGCCAGAUCAGAUCCUCACAUUCAAAUGCUUCAUGCUAUGUUUGCUGGCUUCAGAAGUCUUCAUAAGGAAAGUGCUAUGGAACUGACUGGUCGUUGGACAAACAUCGUUGAAAGACUUCAUCAGUGAGGAGUAACUGAUAUCACCGAUAGAGAUGUAGUCAACAAGCUUCUGAGUGCCCUUGAUGAAACCUUCGAUCCCAUCAUCAUAGCUGAAAUCAAGCAAAGACCAGAGUAUGAAGAACUUCACUAUGUUGAAGUCAUGAAGCUGUUGUCGAUUCAUGAAGAAAAGAUGGAUCUGGAAAAUGCAGAUCAAGAAUCUUCUUCGGAAAGUGAAGGAGAAAUUCUCUCACACUAUGACAGUUCGGAAGAAGAAGAAGAUGUUGAGAAUCAACACACCAUCACCAGAGAACUUGAGAUGCUAACAAAAAUGCUAAGUGAUCCUUGAAGACAAAAUCUAAGCCCCACGAAUGAUGACGAAUUUGACUUGCCAGAAUCAUCAAGAAGGUUAUCUCCAAAUGAAAUGCUUCAAAUGCAAACUGUUCGGUCAUCUAAUAGCAGUCUCUCCUAGCUAGGAAGGAAAACCUAGUAACAGAUGGAAAUGUCUUCACUAUAGUGGAUUCACUCGAAUGGAUCGUUAUACUAAGCUCUCAAAUAAAAAUGAAGCUUCCUCAUUUUCUCCGACGAGACCAGUCACUGACGUGAAAAAAGAGCAACCAUCGAAUCAAACAUGAAGAUAAUAUCACAGCUGAAUAAAGCAUGUGCUGAUAUGACCCUGGAUUCCAAAGAGGAGGCAAUAGACACUGAAUAAGAUGAUGAAGAAUUCUACAAAAGGAUAGGAAGGAGCAAUGCCUUCAUUGCCUGUGAAACAUCUAAGAAUUCAAUCGAGAUAGACACUGGUGAUGAUGCUUCAAGUGAUGAUGAACCAAUUGCAUUCUAUCUCAUGGAAAAAUCAUCUAAGCAUGAGGUAUCAGCAAAACACCAAAAAUCCAUGGAUGGAUAUUCUCCUGAAUACAUUGCCUAUGCUAAACUUGUUAAUAUUGCAAAAUCUCAACAUGAUGAACUUGAAAUGCUUGAGAAGAAUCUUAGGAAAACCGAAGAAUUACUGGUCAAAGAGGUGGAGAAAAAUCAAAAAUUGAUGGAAGAGCAUGAAGCUUUUUCUACAACUAUUGAUGAUCUUUCCAGCAAAUAUGAUUCUAACUUAGAAAGCAUCAAUGAGGGCUUUAUUGCACUAAUACCUAAAGUUCCCUCCCCAGAGACGAUUAACGACUUUAGACCGAUCACACUGCUAAAUUGCUGCCUCAAAAUAAUCACCAAACUAUUGGCCAACCGUCUGCAGAAGAUCAUUCUCAAAAUUACACAUCGUAACCAAUACGAUUUCAUCAAACGUGGAACUAUACAAGACUGUCUUGCUUGGGCCUUUGAGUACAUCCAUCAAUGCCAAGUCUCCAAGAAAAAAAUUGUUCUACUCAAACUUGACUUCGCUAAAGCCUUCGACACCGUAGAACAUGGGGCUAUGCUUGAGAUUAUGAAGCAUAUGGGGUUCAAUGACAAGUGGCUUUCCUGGAUCAAGUCUAUCUUCUCCUCCGGUAAAUCUUCCGUGCUCCUCAAUGGCGUACCAGGCAGACAAUUCUUAUGUAAGUGUGGUGUCCGACAAGGCGACCCAUUGUCUCCCCUUCUCUUUGUUAUUGCAGCGGAUCUCCUCCAAGCUGCCAUUAAUGAUGCAUUCCGACAAGGGAAGAUCCAUCUACCGUUUGACAGACAGCACCAACAGGACUAUCCAGUUAUUCAAUACGCGGAUGACACAAUAGUUAUCAUGCCAGCGUGCCCAGCUCAAGCGCGUACUAUGAAAGGAAUUCUUAAUGAUUUUGCCACAUCUAUUGGUCUCAAGAUAAACUUUCAUAAAUCGACACUCAUUCCGAUGAAUUGUGAGGCAGAUCUUACAAAUGAGCUUGCUAGUAUCUUUGAAUGCAAGAUUGGUAACAUGCUGUUCACAUACCUCGGCCUCCCUUUGGGGACUAGUAAACCCUCCAUCCAAGACCUAAUGCCGAUGGUAUGCUAUGUAGAAUGAAGACUGACUUCCACCCUGACCAUGAUGUCAUAUGGAGCCAAACUUUCGUUGCUAAAUACAGUCAUCACCUCGCUCAUCAUGUUUGCUCUAUGCACUCUAAAGUUCCCACCGAAAAUCCUGGAGUUAUUGGAUAAGAUUCGUCGAAAAUGUCUAUGGACAAAGAAAACUUAACAAGGGGAAAAAUGCAACUCCUUGGUUGCCUGGGAUAGGAUCUGCCGCCCAAAAGAUAGUGGAGGCCUUGGGAUCAUCAACUUAAAGAUACAAAGUGAUGCGCUCCUCCUCAAAUACCUGCACAAGUUCUACAACCAGCAUGACCUCCCUUGGGUUGAUCUGAUUUGGUCUACAUACUACACGGACAAGAUACCCCAUGCUUCUGAUCCUUGUGGCUCCUUCUGGUGGAGAGAUGUCCUUAAACUAACUCCAACCUAUCGAGGCAUCUCAAAGGUUGAGGUUAACUGUGGCGACAAUGUAUUGAUGUGGAAGGACCUCUGGCUCGAGGAAACUCUAGUUGACUCACACCCAAGGGCAUUUUCCUUUGCUAAGAAUGAAGAUGUCUCAGUAAAAAAAUUUCUACGUGUUUCCUCAUUAGACGAGGCAUUUCAUCUCCCCCUCUCUAUAGAGGCUCAUGCAGAGGUUCGUGACAUCCAGCGUCUGGUGGCCCACAUCGCUUUAGAUAAUGAGCACACCACAAGGGGGACCGCAAAAUAUACUGCACGAAGAUUCUAUAAAUUCUGCUUCAGGGAUGUUCUCGUGGAAUUAUCACGACAGAUGUCCUCAUGGAAGGACUUAGUCGUGGAGCCAUCACUACGGGUUAGCUUGAAGGGGUUAAACCGGACAAAGGGACACGAGAGUUUAUACUAGUUCAGCCCCUUCGAUGAAGGUAAAAGCCUACGUCUAGUUGUGAUUGGUAUUGCUGGGGUUUCGAAGACCAGGGAGCGAAUCCGCUUUGUCUGGCUUCGAGUUGUUGUUUUCUGUCCCUGAACCGCCGCCGGGUCACCCCUUUAUAUAUUCAGGGAGGAUCCCGGCCGGUCUACGGAGUCCCGAGGCUGGCUCAUACAAGUGUCCGCCUCGGUCUCUUCUUUCUUAUCUUACAAUGCAAGUUUAUACAAUCAUGGCGGUUUACUAUCAUGGGCCCUAAACCGCCUGUGGGCUCUGGGUCUCUAAGCUUCAUCCGUAAAGCGCCAUCUUCUGGGUUUCCUUAGGCUUCAGUAUAACUGAAGGUGAACCGGCCCCUCCUGGGCGGUUUACCCUCAGUGGUUAUAUCUUCAACAUUAGGCCCCAGAUUUAUUUGAACCUGUUCAUGUCAGUCUUCAAUCCUUGAACUUCUGGCAAUUCUCGUAAACCGCCAUAUUGUCUUCUCCCUGUGAACUUUGACGAAUCGCCAUGGCGUCAUCUUCUGUUACUAUAAUAAAUCAUUGUGACGUCAUUCCUGUAUAAAAAAGUUUUUAUAAAGAUUCCCUUCUCUUUAAUUAAUUCCCAAAGAUCGAGGCGACAGCUGCAUCCUCUUUUGCCGCCUCCGAUUCCUUGAUUUUUGCGCCUGCCACUUUAUCCCACUUCCUUAUAAAUAAAACCAGGCCGCCUUCCAUUUUCUCCCUUUCCAAACCGCAUCGUCUUCCUCCUCGCGACCCGAAGACCUCAAGUAUUGCCGCCGCCGCCGUCGUUGAUCUUCCAGUCCGCACCGACUCAGGCCGCUGCAUCGACCUAACUCUGACCAGAGAUCGACGACGAACCUCUGCAGCUCGUCCUCAUCCGUGAGUUCUUCUCCUUCCCCUUCUCAGAUCUACAUUGGAACUUUUUGUUGAGUUCGUCGGCGGUCAUCGCCGCCCGAUGCAAACCCUUAUUAUUUUUCACCUCCAAUACCCUGUUUAAAUUGUAAAAACAACGUAGAACUGCUGCAGCAAUUGUUUGCGCUUAUCUUGCAUAAAAAUAGAUCUCAUUUCCAUUGUUUGGAAGCUCUCUUUGAGUGUAUGAACUUCUCUGCACUGUUUUAGGUCUAGAAAUUUUUCCUUCCAGAGCGACCGUUUGAUCGAAAAUAAUAAUUGCAACUUGCGAAACCUGUUUGUUCCAUACUUAAAAAAUUUCCAGCUUGGGGUUCUGCCUCCAAAGGGCGGUUUAUCCUUUAGUGUUAAUAAUUCGUCAUAUGUCAUUAGCCCUCUCUUAAACCGCCAUCUAGACUUUGAACAACCAUGCCCGGUUCACUUCAUACGUAUAUCUUGAAUUGCCGGUUUAACAUUUUGACAAACAGAUAUGAACCGCCAAUCGUAAACCGUCCAUUUUCCUUUUACAGACUUUGUAAGAUGAUGAAACAAUUUGCUGCUUGCAACUGGGUUCCGUCUCGGAUCACAGAAAUGCAAAUCAAUGAAUAUGUCACCACCGGCGCUUUAGCCUCAAAAAAUGUCCUCCGUUGGCGAGUUCCUGGCCCUGAAUGCCCCCCUGAACCUCAAGAUGGAGAAGUGAUUGUAUUCUUGCAGCAUUUAGCUCGAGGUUUCAGUCCUCCCGGAUCAAAAUUUUUCCAGGAUGUUCUUGCCAGGCUCCAACUUCAUCCUCAAGAUAUUGGACCAAAUUCUGUGUCCAACAUAUGCAACUUCCAAGUAUUCUGUGAGGUUUAUCUGCAAGAAGAACCCACUGUCGAUCUCUUUCACUUAAACCGCCGGACGAAAUUUUCUGAUGGACCUAAUACUGAACUUGGCGGUGUGUCGAUUCAAAAGAGGAAAGAGGUUGAUUUUCCUCAGGCCAAACUUCACAGCCAUCCAAAAGACUGGAACCACACUUGGUUCUACUGCCAAAAUACUGCCCCUGCUGAAGAGAAUCCUCUACCGGGCUACCGUCCGCACCGACUCAGCAAUAAUCACCCCUUACCUCAGAGAUUGCCUACCAAAGACCGACAAGCUUAUGCAUCUCAACUCGCCAAACUCCGGGCUCUCCUUGCCAACGGUUUAACUGGUGUUGAUCUCGUCUGUUGCUGGAUUUCAUGGUGCAUUCUCCCUUUAAGCCGCUGGCCCGGAUUGAUGUUUGAAUACACCGGCAGCACCAAUGAUCCUCAACGGUUUAACUCAAUAGAAAUGACAGACGAUGAAGUCAGUGAAAGUGUAAAGAAAAUACUCGAUGAACCGCUUGCCGUAUGUACUCAAAUUGGUCUUCGUCCUUUUUACGCCUCCAACAAACCGCCAGGGGUAAAUAUUUUAACCUUGUACUUUUUAUUAUUCUUCUCUGCUUUGACACUGCUAUACUAAUACUUUUGUGCAAUCCCAUAGGCCAGUAGCUCUUUUUGGAAAAAGAAAACUCAAGACAAAGUGGCUAAGGCUCCUCAUGGUAAGACCAAGGUCAUCAAGAAAGCUGCCAAAAAGAAAACCGCUGAGUCUUCAGAGCCACCUUAAGAUGUCGAUGACUCGGCUGAAGAGGUAAAGUUUGACUCCCUUGACUUCUAUCCAUAUAUUUUACUGAUAAUGAUUACUCCCAGGAUGAUGCGGAGGCCAGCCAUGCAGAUCAUAUUGAGGUAAUUUGUCUUUCUUCUGACUCAGAACUUGUGUCGGUUCAACGAUUUCGCCGUGCAGUUCGGAAAGUGAAAUGCUCUCACCCUGUUGCUCAUUGGGAUCAAAAACUUUCUUUGAAGACACAGCAAACCGAAGGGCGUCGCACAACCCAGCACAGUGGUCAACAGGUCACUUCUUCCGGUUUACCUCACACCCCAAACCGGAAACGUCGUCCAGAGGUUGCUUGUUCUCCUGAAAAUCGUUAUCCUUUGAAAGGUUUCUUCCGAUGCCCUCUCAAUUCAUCUCAUUCAAAUUAUCAGGCAUCUUCUAAUUCAUCUGGCGGUUCAUCCACCACUCAGCCGCCUCCACUGAAAACCGUCCCUGGUUAAGUGUGUAGCCUUCCCUUCUCUUUCAUAACUCAGUUGACCAUGCUAAUCUUUGUUUUAAUAUUAGUGCUCAAGCUCGUUUGAGUAAGAAGGCCAAGACCAGCGCCCCUACCGGUGAAGUUGAACCGGAGAAAACUCCUGAGGGUCUUGAGAAAAAUCUUGAUAAUCUUGUGGAUGAUUUUGCCCUGCCAGAGCCAACUAUCAAUGCUAAUCCGCCUGAAGCUGAUCCGGCCAUACAUGAGGAUACCUCAUGUCCACAUGUUAUGCCUGCAAGUCCGGCUGCUGAUCCGCUGAAGUCAAGUGCUAAUCCACCAAGCCCAGCCAAGGACGAUGAUGUUAUUGUUACUGGCACUGCUUAUACCGCUCCGGGUGAUCCAGUUGUCUUGGCAAAACAUACCGCCAAGGAUGAGUUUAUUUCAAUGGGCAAGAGGAAGAUGGAAACUGAUAUGUCAAAACAUGCUAAUCUUUCUGCCCAGGAUCUUCAUUCCGGUUUCUUGAACCGGCUUUAUACAAGUUGAGAUAAUGAGGCUGACUUGGUAAACCUGAUGAAGGAACGUUAUGAGGUAAACAUUUUCCUCCUUAUCUUUGUAUUUUCACUGCCUUGUAUCCUAUAGCCCCCAAGGGUCGGUUUAAUUUGUAAAAAAAAACCGGGACUUCGAAUUUCCAAACUGCACAUUGUUGACUUUUAAGUUUUUUGAGAAAACACACAUUAGCCCCCAAGUUCCAGGAUUGAAACUUGUAUGAAUCCUUGGGACUUUGAAGAAGCAGUAAGAAAGAAUUAAUCCGCAUUAGCCCCCAAGUGCCAGGAUUGAAACUUGUAUGAAUCCUUGGGACUUUGAAUAAGCAGUAAGAAAGAAUUAAUCCACAUUAGCCCCCAAGUGCCAAGUGUAGAACCAGUUGUAUGCUUGGGACUUUUGAUAAAAUAUUGAACUGCUCCUCUUGUUUUUGGCAGGCUGACAUAAACCAUCAACGGACGCAGAUUGCUGAUCUUCAAGAAAGUAUCAAAUCUCACCAAGAAGAAUCCUCCAAAGCCAAAGAUGAGCUUCGAGCCGCUUUAACUUCCAUAGAACGACUGAAAGAAGAAUUCAAGACGGAACGUGCCAACUGGGACACUGAAAAGGGGACAUUGCUGAAACAGGCUGAAGACGCCGAAUCUGCACUUAAACCGGUGGCAGAAGAGCUUUCUGGAUUAAAGCGUCAAGUGAACGCCAUGACCUCCGCAGUAUUUGGUAAGUACUCCUAGCAAAGUAUUUGAAAUACCCAUCUUGUAAGGUGCCGGUUGAAAUAUGAAAUUCUUAAACCGUUGCAGGGAGCCGCAUUACUCAUCUGGGCUCAGAUGUACGGAUGAAGCUGAAAGCAGCAUAUACUCUUCUGGAACAACUUUACACCGGUGCUCAAUGGGUUAUCUGUGCAGCCUCCUAUGACAAUCCGGCGCCAACACUGAUCAAGGAUACUCUGACAAGGCUAUCCAUGGUACCGGCACAGCUAGAAGAGGUGAAGUGAUAUGUUGCCAGGGCCGGCACUUUGUUGGCACUUACCCGAGCCAAAGCAUGGAUAGCUGACUUGGACCCGGUUGAACUUGCCAAAGGCUUUCCAAGCACACAAGAAAAUGGGGCAGAUUUUGAUGAUGCAGCCCUUAAAAGAGUGACAAGGGAGAUGCGUCCUCUGGCGAGUCAGCUGGCAGAGGAUGCUAACUUGACGGUUCACCGGUCUUAUUAUGAUGCCAACAACAAACGGGUUAACCCUGUCAUUCCAGCGGCGCAAAAUCUUAUUCCAGGAAUCCGUAAGCACACUUAUGCCCCUGACAUUGAUCCGUCAGAACUUAUCAGUGAAGAAGCUAUCUUUCAGGCCUUAACCCGGAUUGACUGGACCACCGCAAACUUCCAGCCGCUAAGUGGGGAAGAGGAAGCUGAACCGACGCCAGAUGACCCAUCAACUUCGCAGCAACAUGGUAAUGAGACUUGAUCCGGCAAUUAGAGUGAUGCUCCAGAAACCUUGUUCUGCUGGAAACACCAUAUUUUGGGCCUUCAAGCGCCUUGUAAUAAGCUAGUGGAAAUACUUUGAUACGUUGCCCUCGUGCAGUGGGAUACACUUUGCGUUGAUUUGUCAUGAGAAUUUCAGUACUGGCUUAUGUAUUUUUACAAUAUUAUGCAAUCCAUGUGUCUGCAUACGGAAAAUCUGUCCAGGCGGUUUACCACCGGACGGGUCAAAAUAUCCCACUUGGUAAGCAACUAUGGUUGCAACAAAUAAUAAAUCAUACCUAUGAUAUAAAACAUUGCUGUCGGUUUACCAAUUGUGAUUUGAAGAAGGGUGAAAACCCAAACUCCACCGUACCAUGUUGGUAUAUAUAUGAUAUAGAACCGGGUUGUGAUGAACGCCGGCCGAUUGCUGGAGACAAAGCGUCAAAGCCAGACCGGUUUUGAAGGAUGCCGAAUUACCUUUAUUUGUAUACUUGAAUAGAAGAUCCGUCAGCCGUGCCGGGUUUAAAAAACUCCGGUUUAACGUAGACCUCAUGAAAAAUAAAAACUUGGCAGAAAAAAGCAAACAAAAACUGUAGUCGAGGCUUUUCGAGGGCUGCCAGGCCCAAAUCGAGGCUUUUCAUGGGCUUCCAGGCCACUGAGUUAAACCAUUUUGGCAAAGCCCUUUAAGAUGGCCCUCCAACUAACCAAUCAUCGUUUUAACUUUGACAAGUUCAGGGUCUCAAUGAGAGUAACUGUCAAACGUUCGAAGGGUCAUGCCAGGAUUACCUGGAUAGGAGUGGCUUACUUGAUGAAGGCAGGUUAAUUCGGGGUUUUAGGUGAAUACACCAGGCUUCCAAGCCGUGGGUCGAUACCCAGCUACAAGGGUCCUUUCAAACUCUUUGGUAUUUGACUCAAAGAGCCCCCAGGUAACUUUGUGCGCUGUGUUCAAUGGGUGCCUAUGUUUGAGUUGUGCGUAGCAACAAGACUCUCUUUGGCCCCUUGGGUGUGAAGCUCCCAAGCUUUGUUGUGGCAUGAUAGCUGCAUCAGGAGGGUAGUAAUGCUAUGUUCUCUUUGGUGAAUACACCUAUGUUUGAACAGGAAGCCCCCAUGUUAACAGAUAUUUGAAGAAAAAACGGCGGAGGCCCUGCUUGAUAGCAAGGAUGCCGGUUUAUUAUACUAAUCAUAAUAUAUACAUUGUUAAAAUAUGUACAUACAAAAAGCCUGUGGCUUCAAGUGUAAUAAGGUCGUAGGAGAGCUAUGUUCCAUGGCCGCCGGGUCUCCUCCUCAGAGCUACGUGAGUCUUCUCGAACGUCAAUGAGGUAGCAUGAUCCGUUGUGCAGAUUUUUGCUGACCACAAAAGGCCCUUCCCAAGGUGGGGAUAACUUAUGCAUAUCAGUCUGGUCUUGAAUGAGCCGAAGUACCAAAUCGCCUUCUUGAAAGGUUCUUGUCUUAACCCGGCGGCUGUGAUAACGCCGCAGGUCUUGCUGAUAAACCAUCGACCGAGCCAAAGCCAUGUCUCUCUUCUCAUCUAACAGGUCCAGGGCCUCUUGGUGUGCUUGCUCGUUAUCCACUUCAACAUAAUUCGCGACCCUGGGCGAGUCGUGACGAAUAUCACUUGGGAGGACAGCCUCAGCCCCAUAGACCAGGAAAAAGGGUGUAUAUCCCAUAGAUCGGUUUGGGGUGGUAUUUAUGCUCCAUAACACUAAUGGUAAUUCCUCCACCCAACAACCCGGCGUCCGCUUCAAAGGGACCAUGAGCCGAGCCUUGAUACCCUUCAGGAUUUCUUGAUUUGCCCUCUCAGCUUGACCAUUGUACCGGGGAUGAGCCACGGACGCUACAUCAAGCCGGAUGUGCUCUCGUUGGCAGAACUCCUCCAUCUCACCUUUAGAAAGGUUCAUACCAUUAUCUGUGAUGAUGCUAUGUGGAAAGCCGAAACGGAAAAUAAUCUUUUUGAGAAAUUGAACCGCCGUGGCUGCAUCACAUUUACUGAUGGGCUCCGCUUCAACCCAUUUGGUGAACUUGUCAACCGCCACCAACAGGUGGGUCUUCUUGUCCUUAGAACGCUUAAAGGGUCCAACCAUAUCGAGCCCCCAAGUAGCAAACGGCCAAGUGAUGGGGAUCAUGCGUAACUCCUGAGCAGGAACAUGAGCACGACGUGAAAAUUUCUGACAAGCGUCACACCGCUUUACCAAGUCUUCCGCAUCAGAAUGAGCUGUCAACCAGUAGAACCCGUGUCGAAAAGCCUUAGCAACCAAGGACUUUGAGCUAGCAUGGUAACCGCAAUCCCCUUCAUGGAUUUUCCGUAGAAUCUCUUGUCCUUCUUCAGGAGAAACACAGUGUUGGAAUACGCCUGAAACGCUAGAACGGUGCAAUUCGCCAUUGUGAAUAACCAUAGACUUGGACCGCCGGACUAUCUGCCUGGCGAAAAGUUCGUCUUCUGGUAAUUCGUCCCGGUUCAGAUACGCCAAAUAUGGAACCGUCCAAUCCGGAGUGGCAUGUAAAACGGCUACCAACUGGGCCUCCGGAUCAGGAACAGCUAAAUCCUCCUCUGUAGGCAACUUUACAGACGGGUUAUGCAAGAUAUCUAGAAAGGUAUUAGGUACUGGUUUGUGCUGAGAUCCCAGUCGGCUUAGAGCAUCUGCUGCUUCAUUCUUGCGCCGGUCGAUGUGCUCCACCUAAUAACCCUUAAAGUGACCUGCUACAAUAUCCACCUCGCGCCUAUAAGCCGCCAUGAGUGGGUCUUUAGAAUCCCAGGUACCAGAAACUUGCUGAGCCACUAGAUCAGAAUCUCCAAAGCAUCGAACCCGGCUUAAGUUCAUUUCCUUAGCUACACGAAGACCGUGGAUCAAAGCCUCGUACUCUGCUGCAUUGUUAGUACAAGGAAACAUUAAGCGGAGAACAUAACAAAUCUUAUCUCCUCGAGGGGAAGUGAGGACAACUCCAGCCCCCGAGCCUUCCAGCUGCCUGGAUCCAUCAAAGUGAAUGGUCCAGUAUGUAUUAUCCGGUUUGUCUUCUGGUGCCUGUAACUCGGUCCAAUCAUUGAUGAAGUCCACAAGCGCCUGAGAUUUGAUGGCUGUUCGGGGUGUAUACUUCAAACUAUGGGGACCGAGCUCGAUCGCCCACUUCGCAACCCGGCCAGUUGCCUCUCUAUUCUGGAUUAUAUCGCCCAAGGGAGCAAAACUGACCACUGUGAUAGGAAUGACCUUGAAAAUAGUGCUUGAGUUUCCUACUUGCCAUGAAAACUCCAUACACUAGCUUCUGCCAAUGCGGAUAUCUUUGCUUUGAUUCGAUCAGUACCUCACUGAUAUAAUAAACUGGUCGUUGAACCGGAUAUUCUUUUCCGGCCUCCUUACAUUCAACCACAAUCGCCACACUGACCGCCCGGGCGUUGUCAGCCACGUACAACAAUAGAGGAUCAUUAUCAACUGGAGUAGCGAGGACAGGCGGUUCAGCUAGCUGCCGCUUCAAUUCCUCAAAUGCCGCAUUGGCGGCGUCAGUCCAGACGAAUUUAUCUGUUUUCUUCAACAUCUGAUACAGGGGAAUCGCCUUCUCUCCCAAAUGGCUGAUAAAUCGGCUGAGGGCUGCAAUCCGGCCCGCCAGACGCUGAACAUCAUUGAUACAUGCCAGUUUAACCAAGGAUGUGAUUGCUUUGAUCUUUUCCGGAUUUGCCUCAAUACCUCUGUUAGACACAAGAAAACCCAAGAGUUUGCCUGCCGUAACACCAAAAACACAUUUGUCCGGGUUGAGCAUCAUUUUGUAAACCCAAAGAUUGUCAAACGUCUCAUUGAGAUCAUUUAUCAGGGUUUCCUGCUUCCUGGAUUUCACCACAAUGUCAUCCACAUAGGCAUGAACAUUAUGCCCGAUCUGCUUGUGAAGACAAUUUUGCACACAACGCUGGUAGGUUGCUUGGUCACUCUUGAGCCCAAAGGGCAUAGAAACAUAGCAGAAGGCUCCAAAGGGAGUGAUGAAUGCCGUCUUCUCCUGGUCCUUAACUGCCAUCUUAAUCUGAUGAUAACCUGAAUAAGCAUCCAGGAAACUCAGGCGCUCACAACCCGCCGUUGCAUCAAUAAUCUGAUCAAUACGUGGGAGAGCGAAAGGAUCUGCCGGGCAAGCUUUAUUCAAAUCAGUGUAGUCCACACACAUACGCCAAGUGCCAUUUUUCUUAAGAACAAGCACCGGAUUAGCCAACCAUUCGGGAUGAAAUACUUCGACGAUAAAUCCAGCUGCCAGCAGCCGAGCUACCUCUUCGCCGAUGGCCUUGCGUCUUUCUUCGUUAAAGCGGCGAAGGUACUGCUUGACCGGUUUAAACUUAGGAUCAAUAUUUAGCGUGUGCUCAGCAAGUUCCCUCGGUACACCUGGCAUGUCAUAAGGUUUCCAUGCAAAGAUGUCCCGGUUCUCAUGGAUGAACUCGAUGAGCGCGCUUUCCUAUUUCGGAUCCAGAUUUGCACUGAUACUAAACUGCUUGGAUGAAUCACCAGGGACGAAGUCAACAAGCUUAGUCUCAUUAGCCGGUUUGAACGCUAGGGCCGUGCCAUGUUCAGUCAUAGGUUUCUUCAGAGGGGUCAUAUCCGCCGGAUCAACAUUGUCUUUAUAGAAUUUCAGCUCCUCCGUGGCACAAACCGAUUCUGCAUAAGCUGCUUCACCUUCCUCGCAAUCCAAGGCAAUCCUUCGGCUCCCAUGUACUGUGAUCGUCCCCUUAUAACCUGGCAUCUUGAGCUGUAGAUAGACAUAACAGGGCCUCGCCAUGAAUUUCGCAUAAGCCGGCCGUCCAAAUAGCGCGUGAUAUGGACUCUGGAUUUUCACCACUUCAAAGGUCAAAGUCUCAGACCUGGAAUCAAACUCAUCCCCAAACACAACUUUCAAAGCAAUCUUUCCCAUAGGGUAGGCCGAUUUACCUGGUACCACACCAUGAAAGAUAGUGUUUGACAAUUUAAGAUUCUUAUCCGUCAAACCCAUGCGACGGAAAGUCUCAUAGUAUAGGAUGUUGAUACUGCUCCCUCCAUCCAUCAAAACCUUGGUAAACUUAUAGCCCCCCACCUGAGGUGCUACCACCAAGGCUAGCUGGCCCGGAUUGUCAAACCGGGGCGGGUGAUCCUCCCUGCUCCACACAAUAGGCUGCUCCGACCAUCGUAGAUAAUGCGGUAUAGCCGGUUCAACAGUAUUGACUGCCCUCUUGUGAAGUUUCUGAUCCCGCUUGCACAAACUGGUAGUGAACACAUGCUACUGUCCGCUGUUCAACUGCUUGGGGUGACUCUGGUAACCUGACUGUUGCUGAUUCCCUUGGUUAUUCUGCUGGUUAUUACCAUGGUUGUUCUGAUGGCCCUGGUUGUUCUGAAAUCCAGAGCUUGAACCGCCGCCCCCAUGGAAACCUGGGCCUGAACCGCCCGGUGGAUCCUGAUCAUACCAGUAUAAAUCAGAAUUUUUGAACUCCCUCAUUAUAUGACAAUCUUUCCAAAGAUGUGUGGCAGGGGCCUCCUUGGUUCCAUGCUUCGGGCAGGGCUGGUUUAACAAAGGCUCCAGAUUCAUGCCGCGCUGGGGCGGUUUACCUUUGCGACGCUGCAUAUUUGUGUUAGCCACCAAAUCUGAAUUAUUCGCUUUACACUUACUGUUAUUCCCAUGGCCCCCUUGGUUGUGGUGCUGCCCUUUUGCACCUCCGUUCUUCUUUCCCUUCUCCGGUUUGUCCUCCUCUAAAUCCGGAUCCUUGGUAUUAUCUAAAUCGGCAUACUUAACUAAAGCGGCCAUGAGUGUUGACAUGUCGUUGCAAUGACAUUUGAGCCUUCCCAACUUCUGUUUCAACGGCUUGAAACGGCAAUUGCCCUCCAACGUUAAUACCGCGGUAUUUGUAUUAAUACGAUCUGACGAAUGCAAAAUCGUCGAGACUCGUUUAACCCAAUGGGUCGUGGACUCCCCUUCCUCUUGGACACAAGCGGCCAGAUCCAUAAUUGACAUCGACUGCUUGCACGUAUCCUUGAAGUUUUGGAUAAACCGGCGCUUUAAUUCGGCCCAUGAGUCAAUAGAGUUGGUUGGCAAGCUCUUCAACCAAGUGCAAGCUGUUCCUUCCAGCAUCAUGGUGAAAUAUUUAACACAAACCGCCUCAUCCACAUCUAACAUCUCCAUUGCCAUCUCAUAGCUCUCCACCCACGCCUCUGGCUGCAACUCGGCGGUGUAAUUUGGUACCUUGCGAGGUCCCUUGAAAUCCUUGGGCAAUCGCACAUUACGCAGUGCGGGAGUUAAACAUGGUACUCCUAGGGAACUGAACAUUACCCCUGGCUCCACGGAGGCAGUGGGGUGAACCAGAGUAUGAUGUCGUGCUUCGUGUCGAGCUGUCAACUCGGCCCCCCGUCGUACGCGGCCGUGGUCCACAACAUCUUGCGCAUUAGCACCUCCCUGGCCGGGUUGUUCUCCCACGGCGAAUUUCGGUGGCGUGCGCUACUGGAUACGGCCGGUUCGUCUUCCACGUGUAUGCUAUAACUCCGGCUUGGACAGGGAGUGGAAUGAAUCCUCUCACGGCUGUGUGAAUACGCUUGCUGUUGAUUCAAUGCUGUCUGAAGGAGAUCCCUGGCCCAACGCGCUUCCACUGCAACUGGUGAUUCGCCGUCGGUUGGGAGAGCCGCCAGGCAUGAAGCGGCGACCACAAUAUUAUCCAACGGGUUGGAAUAAUGCCCGGGUGGUGUCGAUGAUACAACGUUGUUCUAGCGAGGCAGGUUUGUUGCGUGUGGCUGAACCGACGCUCCUGCUUCCAGUGCCCCCGCUCGGUUUGGCGCGGGUUGGUUACCAGCUCCUGCACCUGGCAUGUUGAAAAGAUUUUACGGCUCAUAAACCGACGUGAGACGUGAUCGGUACCUUCUUCUCAUGACCUCUUCUGAAGCAUUCUGAUCUAGUCUAAUCCGGUAAGCCUGUGCUUCCAACUCGGCCCGCUCUGUGGCCAUCCUGGCGUUCUCUGCUGUCAGGUCCGCUUUAGCCUGGGCUAUCUGAUCUUUCACCUUUAGAAUCUCCGCAUCGUGCUGAUCCCUAGCUGCUGCGUCUACCUCCGCGGACAUCAGUGCCGCUAAAGCGUCGAACAAAUCAGACAAGACUUGGGCCGGAGGCGGCGCCGAGCUUCCUACACCUGCCGGCAUGGCCGUUGUUGAACCGGAGAGUACCGCUGCGGCGGUAGAUGAAUGAGGCACCGGUCGUGUGCCGACCAUGAAGACAAUGACCCGGUUUGGCAGACCGGGGGAAUCCGGAAUACUGUUGCCCUCGGAUCCUCCCUCAAUCCGGCCGUCGUACAACUGGUAAAGCGAUUCGGUUUCUCCGGAAGACUCGUCAUCACUACGAAUUACGGUUUCUCCAUCGGAGAUCGGUUCCUCCUCAUAACCCGAACCGUGGACGACACCUACGAAAACAUGCCUGGCCUCAGGCUGAACCGGUGAAGAACUUGCACGCCGAGCCGUCUCGAUGAUGUCCGUGCAGGUGUCCGGCUCAGGGGCCGGUUCGCCGAUCUUGCCAAUGAAGACGUGAAUCCCACCAAAGGGGACCCGGUACCCGUAUUCGAUUGAAUUAGCCUCGUGUAACGCCCUCGAUGCGGCUAUAGCUCCCAUGUGUCGAGGCACGACUUAGAGGCAUAACCGCAUUGAAAGCAAUGUCGCAAGUUAGGCAAUCUUCACAACAUCCCAUGUAAUACAGAUAAUAAAAGGGGAGAUACAUAGUUGGCUUACAUUCGCCACGUCAAUCAAAGUACAUAAAUAGCAUUACAUCAAUCAAACACUCAUGGCCCGACUACGGCGCCAAAAUGAAAGAUAACCCAACAUGCGACACGGUCCCGAUCACCCCAACUGGGCACCACUACUGAUCAUCAGGGAAAGACACGUAGUAUCGGCGUGAGUCCUCGUCGAACUCCCACUUGAGCUCAAGCGCGUCAUCUGGAACAGAUUCAUCAGGCCCUGCAUCUGGUUUGGAAGUAAUCUAUGAGCCACAGGGACUCAGCAAUCUCGCACCCUCGCGAUCAAGACUAUUUAAGCUUAUAGGUAAGGCAAGGUAAUAUAUGUGGAGCUGCAGCAAGCGACUAGCAUAUAUGGUGGCUAACCCGUUCGCAAAAGAGAGCGAGAAGAGGAGGCAAAGCACGAACGAGAAACUAGAGAGCAACCUGCGCAAGCAUUACUCCGACACCGUGUUCACUUCCCUGACUCCGCCGAGAAGAGACCAUCACGGUAACUCACACAGUUGAUUCAUUUUAAUUAAGUUAAGGUUCAAGUUAUCUACAACCGGACACUAACAAAUUCCCAUCUGCCCAUAACCGCGGGCACGGCUUUCGAAAGUUCAAAUCCCUGCAGGGGAGUCCCAACUUAGCCCAUGACAAGCUCUCACGGUCAACGAAGGAAUAGACCUUCUCCCGAGACAUUCCGAUCAGACUCGGUAUCCCGGUUCUACAAGACACUUCGACAAGUUAAAACAAAUCCAGCAACACCGCCCGAAUGUGCCGACAAAUCCCGAUAGGAGCUGCACAUAUCUCGUUCUCAGGGCACACUCAGAUUGUCUUAACUUCCGGUAGGCCAGCCCAGAGUUGCCCCUGGUGGCCACCGACGGCUGACGAGUUGGACCAACACUCAGAGGAGCANNNNNNNNNNNNNNNNNNNNNNNNNNNNNNNNNNNNNNNNNNNNNNNNNNNNNNNNNNNNNNNNNNNNNNNNNNNNNNNNNNNNNNNNNNNNNNNNNNNNNNNNNNNNNNNNNNNNNNNNNNNNNNNNNNNNNNNNNNNNNNNNNNNNNNNNNNNNNNNNNNNNNNNNNNNNNNNNNNNNNNNNNNNNNNNNNNNNNNNNNNNNNNNNNNNNNNNNNNNNNNNNNNNNNNNNNNNNGUUAAAAUAAGCUGACCCUCGGGAUUCGGAAACCCAAGGGAAAAAGGGCCAGGUGGCAAAUGGUAAAACCAAGGUUGGGCAUUGCUGGAAAAGCUUUAAUCAAGGUGAACUAUCAAGGGGUUCCCAUUAUCACCCAACCACGUAAGGAACACAAAAAAUCCGGGAACAUAACACCGAUAUGACGGAAACUAGGGCGGCAAGAGUGGAACAAAACACUAGGUGAGAGGCCAAGCCUUCCACCCUUUACCAAGUAUAUAGAUGCAUUAAGAUAACAAGAUAAUAUAAUGAUAUCCCAACAAGUAAAUAAUGUUCCAACAAGGAACGGUCUCCAAUCUUCACCUGCAACUAGUAACGCUAUAAGAGGGGCUGAGCAAAGCGGUAACAUAGCCAAUCAACGGUUUGCUAGGACAAGGUGGGUUAGAGGUUUGACAUGGCAAUUUAGGAGGCAUGAUAAGCAAGUGGUAGGCAUCAUAGCAUAGGCAUAGCAAAAGAGCGAGCAUCUAGCAAAGCAAAGAUAGUAGUGAUUUCGAGGGUAUGAUCAUCUUGCCUGCAAAGUUGUCAGAGUUGACUGGAUCCUCAAAAGCAAACUCAACGGGCUCCUCGUUAGCGAACUUGUCUCCCAGCUCUACCCAAGCAAGACAAACAAGCAACAAGGACACAAUCAACCACGUGUAAACUCAAUCAACAUGAUGCAAACAUGGUAUGCUAUGCGGGAUGCAAUAUGCGAUGCAUAUGCAAGAUUUGACAAGGAAUGCAUGAACCUGGCCUCAACUUGGAAAUCCAAGUGUGCCACUGGAAAGGUGAGAUGAAAUCGCUUGAAAACGAUAUAAAGACCGCCGGAAUCGGAGUUACGGUUUGGAAAUGGCAAGCAAUUCAAAUAUGACCACGUUCUGCGAUUUACAACAAGUAGCCAACUAGAUGCAACAAGAUGAACAUGCUACAACACCCAAACAUGGCAUCAAAAUACAUGGCAGGGAUCCAUUCAUGAUGCUUAACCAAAGACUAGCAGUGAGCUACGUCCAAUUCAUCCAUUAACAGGUUCAAACAAACAUGGCAAAAAUUCAUUUGGCAAACAGAUCUCAGACUUAGUGAAAUUAACACUUGUCUGGAAUUUCAGAUCAGAUAGCACACUUUGGAGCAUGAAAACAAUAUGCUACAGGACCUGAACAUGGAAAAGUAAAGCAUGGCAAGGAGCUACUCAAAAAGCUUAACAAAAGUCCCUUAGUGACCAUGAGCCAAAAGGGAUCGGAAAAUACAUUUGCAAGCAUGUGAACAUGGCAAAAACAUAACCAGUUCUCAGACUUAGUGAAAACUGGAGCAUGUUGAAACAGAUAUCAAGUAGGCAUGUUUAUGAGCUUGAUGCACUCACUACAUAGCAAGUCAUGACAAUCUAAUCAUACACCCAUCAAGAAUACACAAAAUACAAGCUAGACAUGGCAAGAACAAUAACAUAGCAUGCACGGAUCAACUACAACAUCCUCGACAAAAUCGCUAACAAGUAGACAAUCUGCCCAGAUUCACGAAAUGACAAAAGUAGAGCUCGAUUGACUCAAGCUAGGGUGCUCCAUAAUUGCAAACAAAGGCAUGGAUGGAUAGAGAACUACAAGAUUAACAAAACAUCCUUACUGACCAUCCUCAAAAGAGGCACGGAUCUCUAGGAAACAACAUGAACAUAUGACAUAAUGAGAUAAACAGCUCAAGGACUUAGUGCAAAUGCUAAGUCCCUGAAAUCAGCAUUAACGAAUGCCCCACUUUGCAAGCUUGUGCUAGUCACCACACACAUCACAAAAAUACAUGGGUUGCACCUAUGGAUAGAUGGCAACACAUAUAACAAAACUCAUGAAGAGCUCAGGGGCAUAUCAUGCACACAAUAAUCAUGGCAAAAAUGACAAAUAUCUAAUUGGAGCAGCAGAUCUGACAAUUAUCUCAAAUAGCAUUCUUCUAACAGCAUUUCGGGCAUCAAGAUGAACUCAAAUGAAAAGGAUGCAAUGAGAUGAAAUGAUGUGCUCCCUGAGACGAACAUUGUGAUAUGCUAUAUGCCCAAAACGGAGCUACGGAUGCAAAGCUAUAGCACGAUGAACAUGGGCAUAUGGAUCUGGGAAUUUGGGGACUUAGAAGAAAAUCACCACCCGCGGAUCUAGGGUUCCUCGCGGGCACGCAACCCGAGGUGACUCCGGCGAGGUCAACUCGCUCCGGCGAGGUCGGUCCGUCGGCGGGGAGAUGAAGGAGAGGCGAGGCCGGCCUCUCCCCGACCGGAUCUGAUGGAGGGCGGCGGCGGGCGCCCUCGACAACGGCUCCCGAGGCGCGGGGAAGGCGAGGGAGCGCGGGGCUCCGGCGACGAGCUCCGGCGAGCUUGCGGCCGGCGUCGAUGGCGGGCGGCGGAGGCUGCGAAGCAAGAAGCAGGCGGUGGCGGCACGGAAUCCGGGCGGCGCGCGGGUAGAUGGGCCGGGAGGGCCCGAUCUGGGCUCUCCCGGCCACGACGGCGGGGACGGCGCGGGGUGCCACGUGGCGGCGCGGGAAUGGCUGGUGGCGGCGUGUCCGGCGCCAGCGGACAAUGUCCGGCGCGCGGAGGGUCAGAUCUAGGGUUUUCAGGAGGAAAGGGAAGGAGAAAUUUCGGGGGGUCUUUAUAUAGGCAUAGGAGGAGCUAGGAGAGUCCAAAUGAGGUGCGGUUUUCGGCCACGCGAUCGUGAUCGAAUGCUCUAGAUGAUGGAGAGGGUUUUGGUGGGUUUUGGGCCAACUUGGAGGGGUGUUGGGCUGCAACACACACGAGGCCUUUUCGGUCCCUCGGUUAAUCGUUGGAGCAUCAAACGAAGUCCAAAUGGUACGAAACUUGACAGGCGGUCUACCGGUAGUAAACCAAGGCCGCUUGGCAAGUCUCGGUCCAAUCCGGAAAUGUUUAAUCCCCACACACAAAAGAAAGGUAGAAAUGACCACCCGAGGAGAACGGAGCACCGGAAUGCAAAAUGGACAACAGGGAAAAUGCUCGAAUGCAUGAGAUGAACACGUAUGCAAAUGCAAUGCACAUGAUGACAUGAUAUGAGAUGCAUGACAAUGACAACAACACACGGAGACAAAAACCCGAACCCGAGAAAAUAAAAUAACUUAACGCCGGAAACGGCAGAGUUGGAUUACAAAUUGGGAAAAUAUAUCCGGGGUGUUACAACACUCCACCACUACGAAACGAUCUCGUCCCAAGAUCUAGGACUGAAAGAACGCCGGGUAUUCAGAACAGAGGUGAUCCUCGCGUUCCCAGGUAGCUUCACGGUCGGAAUGGUGUGACCACUUGACUUUGAGGAAUUUGAUUGACUUGUUGCGAGUCUUGCGUUCAGUCUCUUCAAGAAUAGCAAUGGGGUGCUCACAAUAAGAGAGAUCUUCUUGGAGCUCAAUGUCCUCGAAGGUGACGGUGCGGUCAGGAGUCUUGAAGCACUUUCGGAGCUGAGAGACAUGGAACACGUCAUGAACAUUUGCAAAGUUUGAAGGAAGCUCGAGUUGAUAGGCGAGAUCGCCUCUCUUGCUGACGAUCUUGAAAGGUCCCACGUAUCUAGGGGCAAGAUUCCCUUUGAUACCGAAGCGACGAGUACCUUUCAUUGGAGAGACGCGGAGGUAAACAUGAUCUUCGAUCUCGAAAGCCAAAUCACGGUGCUUACUAUCAUAGUAGCUCUUCUGGCGGGAUUGGGCUGCUUUGAGGUUAUCUCGAAUGACUUUGCACAUUUCCUCUGCCUCUGUGAUUAAGUCAUUUCCCAGAAGUUGACGUUCACCGGUUUCAGACCAGUUGAGAGGGGUACGGCACUUCCUGCCAUACAUAAUUUCAAAUGGGGCCUUGCCCGAACUUGCUUGAAAACUGUUGUUGUAGGAGAAUUCAGCAUAUGGAAGACAAUCCUCCCACUUCAUGCUGAAGGAGAUCACACAAGCCCUGAGCAUAUCUUCAAGAAUCUGGUUGACAUGCUCGACUUGACCGCUAGUUUGAGGAUGGAAAGCUGUACUGAAGCGGAUGUUGGUGCCCAUGGCCUUCUGAAAAGAAUCCCAAAACUUGGAGGUAAAGAUGCUGCCACGGUCUGAAGAGAUCACUUGAGGAAUACCAUGCAGAGAGACAAUCCGAGAGGUAUAGAGUUCCGCCAAUUGAGUUGCAGUGAUUGACUCUUUGAUAGGCAGAAAGUGAGCCACUUUAGUGAGUUUGUCGAUGACAACGAAUAUAGCAUCAUUGCCACGCUUGGACUUUGGAAACCCAGUCACGAAGUCCAUCUCAAUGUGGUCAAACUUCCAUUCUGGAAUGGCAAGAGGUUGGAGGAGACCCGCUGGUAUUUGGUGUUCUGCCUUUACUCUUCUACAGACAUCACACUCAUUCACGAAUUGAGCAAUCUCGCGCUUCAUUCGAGUCCACCAAUAGGCCUGCAUGAGGUCCUGAUACAUCUUCGUGCUCCCAGGGUGGAUGGAGAGGAGAGAAUUGUGAUCCUCGUUCAUGAUCACUUUACGAAGGUCACCUUUGGGCACAACAAUACGAUCCUCGAAGAAGAGAGUAUCCUUGUCAUCAAGGCGGUAGCACUUGUACUUGGGUUGACUCUUGGAAAUCCCAAUCUUCACCUUUUUCACCAUAGCAUCAAGAAGUUGAGCUUGGCAAAUCUGGUCUUCCAAGGUAGGAGAGACUUGAAGGUUGGCGAGGAAACCUUGAGGAACAACUUGCAGAUUAAGUUUGCGGAAAGCUUCACAAAGCUCGGGUUGAUAAGGCUUGAGAAUCAGACUGUUGCAAUAAGCCUUCUUGCUCAAUGCGUCAGCAAUCACAUUGGCCUUGCCUGGAGUAUACUCGAUACUCGGAUUAUACUCUUGAAUCAUUUCGACCCAUCGAGUCUGCCUGAGGUUGAGAUUAGGCUGAGUGAAGAUGUACUUGAGACUCUUGUGGUCAGUGAAGAUGUCCACUUUUCUUCCCAAUAAGAGAUGUCUCCAAGUCAAAAGAGCAUGCACUACUACCGCCAACUCGAGAUCAUGAGUGGGGUAGUUCUUCUUGUUGGGCUUCAACUGGCGAGAGGUAUAAGCCACAACUUUCUUCUCUUGCAUCAAUACUGCGCCAAGACCUUGGAGAGAGGCAUCACAAAAGACCUCGUACGGCUUGGAUUCAUCAGGAGGAGUCAGAACUGGAGCAAUGACCAAUUUCUCUUUCAAAAUGUUGAAAGCAAUGUCACACUCCGGAGACCAAACAUACUUGACGUGCUUCUGGAGAAGAUUUGAGAGAGGCUUCGCGAUCUUAGAAAAGUUUUCAAUGAAUCUUCGACAAUAGCUUGCGAGACCGAGGAAGCUAUGGAGUUGCUUCACGUUCUGAGGUGGUUCCCAAUUUACAAUUGCAAACACCUUCUCAGGAUUCACCGCAAUGCCCUUGGCAGAGAUGAUAUGGCCAAGAUAAAGAACCUCAUCGAGCCAAAAUUCGCACUUGGAGAACUUGGCGUAGAACUUGUGUUCCCUGAGCUUAUCGAGUACCAAACGCAAGUGCUUGGCAUGAUCUUCCUUGUUCUUUGAAAAGACCAGAAUGUCGUCGAGAUAGACCAAAAUGAAGUCAUUGGUGUAGGCGUUGAAGAUGAAGUUCAUCAUGCGAGAGAAAGUCGGAGGAGCGUUGACGAGACCAAAAGACAUGACAGUGUAUUCAUAUGAACUAAAGCUUGUCCUGAAAGCCGUCUUGGGAAUAUCUUGCUCACGGAUUCGAAUCUGAUGAUGACCCAUACAGAGAUCAAGCUUGGAGAAUACUUGGGAACCUUUGAGUUGUUCGAACAACUCAUUGAUGUUGGUAAGUGGGUAUUUGUUCUUGAUGGUCUUCUUGUUCAAUGGACGGUAAUCAACACAAAGUCGGUCCAUUCCAUCCUUCUUCUUCACAAAAAGAACACCACAACCCCACGGAGAAGAACUAGGUCGGAUGAGACCCAUUCUCUCUUGAACAUCGAGUUGCUUCUUCAGCUCCUUCAACUCUUCAGGUCCGAGCUUGUAAGGACGCUUGCACACAAGUUCCGUGCCGGGCUCAAGAUCAAUGACGAAUUCAACUGGCCGGUGCGGAGGUAUUCCUGGAAGCUCUUCUGGAAAGACGUCUUGAUAUUCGCAAACGACUGGAAUUUGCGAGAUAGCAUCCAGUUCACCCUUCUCAUUGAGAGAAAACAGACGGAUGGUAUUAUCCCGAGCGGCAAAGACAAUUACAUCCUCAGACGAAUGCGUCAAUUGAAUCUGCCUGGCUGCACAAUCAAGCUGAGCCUUGUGCUUAGAUAGCCAAUCCAUCCCGAGAAUAAGAUCAAUAUCCGAGUUACCAAGGAUCAUUGGAGAAGCCAGAAACUUGAAAUCACCCAACGAGAUAGAAAUAUCCGGAACCUCAUAGUUAGUGAGCUAACAUCUACCCAGAGAGACAACUGCUAACGGUGUAUGCAUAACUUGAGAAAACCACCCAUGCUUAGAUGCAAAAGGUCUCGAGAUGAAACAAUGCGAUGCACCAGUGUCAAAAAGAACUUUUGCAGGAACAUCGUUAACAGGAAGGUUACCCAUGAUGACAUCUGACGAGUCCUCUACCUGAGCUGCGUUCAUCAAGUUGACCUUGGCGUGCUUGGGGUUAUGCUUGACCACAGCUGUACUUGCCGAUCUCACAAGAGGAGGAGGAGGAAGACGCCUCUGAUUGAAGCAUUUGUUGGCAUAGUGACCCUUCUGUUGGCACUUGUUGCACGUGACCUCUGAAAGCGGACGGUGAUACGGAGCACUCGAUCUUGGAGCUUGAGACGAAGUCUUGUUCUGAAAGCCAGGGUUGGGUGGGUGGGAAGAUCCAUUGCCAUCUUUGCUCUUCUGCUGAUAUGGCUACGAAACGGAGGAGGAGGAAGCCAAUACUUCUACUGCUUGGCCACUUGAGUAGAGGAAGAAGGAGUAGUGUCUCUGGCUCGCUUCUUGGAAGCAUCACACCUCAGUUGAGCGGCCUCUUGCUUCAAUGCCAUGUUGUAGAACUCAUCGUACCUCAAGGGCUCAAAGAGAACAAGAGCUAGCUGAAUUUCUUCCCUGAGACCACCCCUGAACUGGUAUAUCAUGCUCUUCUCAUCAGGGACAUCCUUCUUAGCAAAGCGGGCGAGCUUCUGAAACAACUUGUUGUAGUCAUAGACAGACAAAGAGCCUUGCUUCAGGUUGCGGAAUUCCUCACGCUUGCUUUCAACCACGCUCUGGGGGAUAUGAUGAGCUCUGAAAUCUUGACGGAAUUCAUCCCAGGUAAUCGCACGGCCUCCUCUGGAAUCCUUGUACUGCUGGAACCAUCUGCAGCUUGGUCUUUGAGUUGGAAGGAAGCGAACUUGAUGAAGUCCUCAGGCCUGACGUUACUGCACUCGAAAUGCUUGCACAGAUCCACGAGCCAAUCGUCAGCAUCAGUUGCCUCAACACAAUUGCUGAAAGUCUUUGGCCCGUUAGCAAGGAACUGGUUGAGUGUAGCAAAGUGAUUUUGAUUGUUGCCUUGGUUCACUUGAUUGCGCUCUUGAAGAAUUUGCAUGAUCAACUGUGUGUUUGCAUUGGUUGCGGCCAUCACAGCUUUCCAUGCCUCCGGAGGACGUGGAGGUGGUGGCGGAUCUUGAUUCUGAUUCUGAUUGGUGCUCUUAGCGGGAGCCAUCCUGAAGAGGUUGACCACCGUUAGCACAUAGAUAGAUAAAAUGAAGCUGAAUCAAACGGGUUGAAAUUGCAACAUAUAGUCUUCACAUACGAACAUAAAAACGAAUGCAUUCCACUUGAAAUGGUCACAUAUCCAUAAAUUGAGAAGCCACUUAGAAUCUAGGUAGAGGAAUAAAUCAACAAGGUACGGAUCAAGGACGAAUACUCGGUAAGAAAUCCCAAUCUCAAACCAAAUAUCCAUGGAAGAAGAACUAGAGCUACAAGAAUUCCCACCUAUGAAACUCCCAAACCUUUCCGGUUAUGCAUUCAGGUGUUGGGGAUACAGGGGAAGCAUAAUAUCUCACCCAAAUCUAGCAAUUCCUACAUCCAGCUGUAUCCAUCCUUCAACACAUAACCGAGAAAACUUUGGAAACCAUCUACCUCAACCUUCGAAAAGCAUCCGUUAUACAAGUUAUGGCGAUACUCCUGAACUCCCGCCCCAGUACUGGGUGGCAUCGAGGUUAUCUCACCAACGAACUGCAUAAAAGAGAUUUUCGAUGUCGGCAUACUAAACUCAGGUAUUCCAGAACUGCAACGAUAAAAUUGUGACGACAACACCUCGGAGCUCAACUCCCCGGGACACUGCCACAACCCCUAAAGUCAGGAGGCACCAAGAACAAUGUUCUCGUCACAAAACCAUCGGAACGAUUCCAAGAUACCCGCGUGAUCCUAAAUUUUUUUUAGUGAAAUUUGAGAAGAGAAGAGUCAAAACUCUACGUCUGGAUGCCUUACCAGAGCGAUGAGGAGACUGGGGAGUAAAAAGAAUUCCUAAACUCUCCGAUAUAUAAUUCCUAAAUGACUCAAAACAUUUUUAUAGACUCAACAACGGCUGCUAAAAACGAUCAAGCAAUGGGGGCUCCUAAGGUCGAGGAAGGCUCUGAUUACCAACUUGUAACGCCCUCGAUGCGGCUAUAGCUCCCACGUGUCGAGGCACGACUUAGAGGCAUAACCGCAUUGAAAGCAAUGUCGCAAGUUAGGCAAUCUUCACAACAUCCCAUGUAAUAUAGAUAAUAAAAGGGGAGAUACAUGGUUGGCUUACACUCGCCACGUCAAUCAAAGUACAUAAAUAGCAUUACAUCAAUCAAACACUCAUGGCCCGACUACGGCGCCAAAAUGAAAGAUAACCCAACAUGCGACACGGUCCCGAUCACCCCAACUGGGCACCACUACUGAUCAUCAGGGAAAGACACGUAGUAUCGGCGUGAGUCCUCGUCGAACUCCCACUUGAGCUCAAGCGCGUCAUCUGGAACGGAAUCAUCAGGCCCUGCAUCUGGUUUGGAAGUAAUCUGUGAGCCACAGGGACUCAGCAAUAUCGCACCCUCGCAAUCAAGACUAUUUAAGGUUAUAGGUAAGACAAGGUAAUAUAUGUGGAGCUGCAGCAAGCGACUAGCAUAUAUGGUGCCUAACCUGUUCGCAAAAGAGAGCGAGAAGAGGAGGCAAAGCGCGAACGAGAAACUAGAGAGCAACCUGCGCAAGCAUUACUCCAACACCGUGUUCACUUCCCUGACUCCGCCGAGAAGAGACCAUCACGGUAACUCACACAGUUGAUUCAUUUUAAUUAAGUUAAGGUUCAAGUCAUUUACAACCGGACACUAACAAAUUCCCAUAUGCCCAUAACCGCGGGCACGACUUUCGAAAGUUCAAAUCCCUGCAGGGGAGUCCCAACUUAGCCCAUGACAAGCUCUCACGGUCAACGAACGAAUAGACCUUCUCCCGAGACAUUCCGAUCAGACUCGGUAUCCCGAUUCUACAAGACACUUCGACAAGUUAAAACAAAUCCAGCAACACCGCCCGAAUGUGCCGACAAAUCCCGACAGGAGCUGCACAUAUCUCGUUCUUAGGGCACACUCAGAUUGUCUUAACUUCUGGUAGGCCAGCCCAGAGUUGCCCCUGGUGGCCACCGACGGCUGACGAGUUGGACCAACACUCAGAGGAGCACUGGCCCGGGGGGGGGGGGGGUUUAAAAUAAGAUGACCCUCGGGCUCCGGAAACCCAAGGGAAAAAGGGCUAGGUGGCAAAUGGUAAAACCAAGGUUGGGCAUUGCUGGAAAAGCUUUAAUCAAGGCGAAUUAUCAAGGGGUUCCCAUUAUCACCCAACCGCGUAAGGAACGCAAAAAAUUCGGGAACAUAACACCGAUAUGACGGAAACUAGGGCGGCAAGAGUAGAACAAAACACUAGGCGAGAGGCCAAGCCUUCCACCCUUUACCAAGUAUAUAGAUGCAUUAAGAUAACAAGAUAAUAUAAUGAUAUCCCAACAAGUAAAUAAUGUUCCAACAAGGAACGGUCUCCAAUCUUCACCUGCAACUAGUAACGCUAUAAGAGGGGCUGAGCAAAGCGGUACCAUAGCCAAUCAACGUUUUUCUAGGACAAGGUGGGUUAGAGGUUUGACAUGGCAAUUUAGGAAGCAUGAUAAGCAAGUGGUAGGCAUCGUAGCAUAGGCAUAGCAAAAGAGCGAGCAUCUAACAAUAACAUAGCAACGGAUCAACUACAACAUCCUCGGCAAAAUCGCUAACAAGUAGACAAUUUGCCCAGAUUCACGAAAUGACAAAAGUAGAGCUCGAUUGACUCAAGCUAGGGUGCUCCAUAAUUGCAAACAAAGGCAUGGAUGGAUAGAGCACUACAAGAUUAACAAAACAUCCUUACUGACCAUCCUCAAAAGAGGCACGGAUCACUAGGAAACAACAUGAACAUAUGGCAUAAUGAGAUAAAUAGCUCAAGGACUUAGUGGAAAUGCGAAGUCCCUGAAAUCAGCAUUAACGAAUGCCCCACUUUGCAAGCUUGUGAUAGUCACCACACAUAUCACAAAAAUACAUGGGUUGCACCUAUGGAUAGAUGGCAACACAUAUAACAAAACUCAUGAAGAGCUUAGGGGCAUAUCAUGCACACAAUAAUCAUGGCAAAAAUGACAAAUAUCUAAUUGGAGCAGCAGAUCUGACAAUUAUCUCAAAUAGCAUUCUUCUAACAACAUUUCGGGCAUCAAGAUGAACUCAAAUGAAAAGGAUGCAAUGAGAUGAAAUAAUGUGCUCCCUGAGGCGAACAUUUUGAUAUGCCAUAUGCCCAAAACGGAGCUACGGAUGCUAAUUUAUAGCAUGAUGAACAUGGGCAUAUGGAUCUGGGAAUUUGAGGACUUAGAAGAAAAUCACCACCCGCGGAUCUAGGGUUCCUCGCGGGCACGCAACCCGAGGUGACUCCGGCGAGGUCAACUCGCUCCGGCGAGGUCGGUCCGUCGGCGGGGAGAUGAAGGAGAGGCGAGGCCGGCCUCUACCCGGCCGGAUCUGACAGCGGGCGGCGGCGGGCGCCCUCGGCGACUGUUCCCGAGGCGCGGGGAAGGCGAGGGAGCGCGGGGCUCCAGCGACGAGCUCCGGCGAGCUUGCGGCCAGCGUCGAUGGCGGGCGGCAGAGGCGGCGAAGCAAGAAGCAGGCGGCGGCGGCGCGGAAUCCGGGCGGCGCGCGGGAAGAUGGGCCGAGAGGGCCCGAUCCAGGCUCUCUGGGCCGCGGCGGCGGGGACGGCGCGGGGUGCCACGUGGUGGCGCGGGAAUGGCUGGCGGCGGCGUGUCCGGCGCGCGGAGGGUCAGAUCUAGGGUUUUUUGGGAGGAAGGGGAAGGAGAAAUUUCGGGGGGGUCUUUAUAUAGGCAUAGGAGGAGCUAGGAGAGUCCAAAUGAGGUGCGGUUUUCGGCCACGCGAUCGUGAUCGAACGAUCUAGAUGAUGGAGAGGGUUUUGGUGGGUUUUGGACCAACUUGGAGGGGUGUUGGUCUGCAACACACACGAGGCCUUUUCGGUCCCUCGGUUAACCAUUGGAGCAUCAAACGAAGUCCAAAUGGUACGAAACUUGACAGUCGGUCUACCGUUAGUAAACCAAGGCCGCUUGGCAAGUCUCGGUCCAAUCCGGAUAUGUUUAAUCCCCACACACAAAAGAAAGGUAGAAAUGACCACCGGAGGAGAACGGAGCACCGGAAUGCAAAACGGACAACGGGGAAAAUGCUCGAAUGCAUGAGAUGAACACGUAUGAAAAUGCAAUGCACAUGAUGACAUGAUAUGAGAUGCAUGACAAUGACAACAGCACCCGGAGACAAAAACCCGAACCCGAGAAAAUAAAAUAACUUAACGCCAGAAACGGCAAGAGUUGGAUUACAAAUUGGGAAAAUAUAUCCGGGGUGUUACACCUCAGGACCCCAUCCUGCGUUGUCGAUGUAGAGCUUGCCGCGGCAACUCUUUGUCAUCCGGCCCACAACGUAUCCCCUCAGUCCAUCGAAGUUGCCCUUCAAGAACUCAAAACCAUCGUGUGAUAGCCCCACGGUGGGCGCCAACUGUCGUGGAAUUGUUACGAUAGAUGUCCUCAUGGAAGGACUUAGUCAUGGAGCCAUCACUACGGGUUAGCUUGAAGGGGUUAAACCGGACAAAUGGACACGAGAGUUUAUACUAGUUCGGCCCCUUCGAUGAAGGUAAAAGCCUACGUCUAGUUGUGAUUGGUAUUGCUGGGGUUUCGAAGACCAGGGAGCGAAUCCGCUUUGUCUGGCUUCGAGUUGUUGUUUUCUGUCCCUGAACCGUCGCCGGGUCACCCCUUUAUAUAUUCAGGGAGGAUCCCGGCCGGUCUACGGAGUCCCGAGGCUGGCUCAUACAAGUGUCUGCCUCGGUCUCUUCUUUCUUAUCUUACAAUGCAAGUAUACAAUCAUGGCAGUUUACUAUCAUGGGCCCUAAACCGCCUGUGGGCUCUGGGCCUCUAAGCUUCAUCCGUAAAGCGCCAUCUUCUGGGUUUCCUUGGGCUUCAGUAUAACUGAAGGUGAACCGGCCCCUCCUGGGCGGUUUACCCUCAGUGGUUAUAUCUUCAACAGAUGUUAAAGCCCAUCGAUCAUAUCAUUGGCUCUGGAAAUCCAAGGUCACAAUUAAGAUAAAGGUCUUUGGUUGGCUUCUACUCUCUGAUCGCCUCAAUACAUGAAACAUGCUCAAACGUCGACACUACAAUGUGGGAGAGGACCUGACAUGCCUCCUCUGCGGCCAUACAGAGGAAGAUGUGGAUCAUAUGAUUCUAAACUGCCCGUUCAGUAAGUACUGUUGGUCCAAACUUGGGAUCAAUCCUGAACAUCAUGUCACACGGCUACCCCGGUUGGAAAUGGCCAAGAAAAAUUGGAACAAACCUAUGUUCAUGGAAAUCUUCCUACAAGCAUCUUGGAGUAUUUGGAAGGAGCGAAAUAAUAAACUCUUCAGAAACAUCAACCCAUCCUACAACUCUUGGCUAGCUAGAUUUAAAACAGACUUUGGUUUACUAGAAUAUAGAGUAAAAGAUAAUAUGAAGGACUUUAUCUUCCUAGUUUUAGACUCCCUCCCUUCUGACUAGUCCCCACUACUAGUUUCACAUUACCUGUGCCACAAAGUGGCCAGGGAUGCAUUCUGUAUAGCCCUUUCACAAUGUACAUUGUAACUUUUGAAAAUUAAUAUAUCACAGUGGGAGCCUCUCCCACUGUCACAGGUUUCAGAAAACUUCGAGAGUUUAUCUGAUGAAUUUAACAUGAAUCAAGAACUCGAGUCUCUAAAGGAAUCUCAUAAUGCACUUCUGAAAGAGAAAGCUUCUCUCUUUGCCGAGCAAUUGAUAACCCACAAGUAUAGGGGAUCGCAACAGUUUUCAAGGGUAGAGUAUUCAACCCAAAUUUAUAGAUUCGACACAAAUGGAGCCAAAGAAUAUUUGCAAGUAUUAGAAGUUGAGUUGUCAAUUCAACCACACCCGAAGAUUAAAUAUCUGCAGCAAAGUGAUUAGUAGCCCGGUCGAGAGCAUCAUGGAAUUGGUGUUGAGGGAGGGUUGAUGAUGAUGAAGACCGAAGAUUCCCCUCUCCGGAGCCCCAAACGGGCUCCAGAUCUGGCCUCCCGGUGAAGAACAGGAGGUGGCGGCGGCUCUGUAUCAUGAAACGCGAUGAAACUUCCUCUCUUAUUUUUCUCUCCAAAAAUAGGUAUUUAUGGAGUUGGAAUUAGGUCUACGGGCCAUGAGGUGGGCACAACCCACCAGGGCACGCCAAAGGGGGGGCGCCCUCGUGUCUUGUGCCCAGCCAGCCCUCCUCCGGUGGUUCUUCGUGCUAGUAUUUUUGAUAUAUUCUGAAAUAGUUCUCCAAAAAGUUUCAUCUGAAUCCGAGAACUUCUAUUUCUGCACAAAAACAACACCAAGGUAGUUCUGCUGAAAACAACGUCAAUCUGGGUUAGUUUCAUUCAAAUCAUGCAAAUUAGAGUCCAAAACAAGAGAAAAAGCAUUAGGAAAAAUAGGUACGAUGGAGACAUAUCAACUCCCCCAAGCUUAAACCUUUGCUUGUCCUCAAGCAAUUCGGUUGACAAACUGAAACUGAAAAAUAGAAACUUUUACGAACUCCUUUGCUCUUGUUUACAUAAAUAAGAUUAAGUAGCACCGAGGUUUUCAGCAAAGAUUAUGAUUAACCUUGUAACAAUAACUCUUAGGAAUUGCAUUAACUCAUAUCAAUAGCAUAAUCAACUAGAGAGCAAUAAUAAGAUAUAUCAAAUGACAACACUUUGUCAAAACAAUCAUGAUACAAUAUGCUAGCCCUUUCCGAGACCGCAAAACAUAAAUGCAUAGCACCUCCAAAGUUCAAGCUACGAUUAAACAUUGUAAUUCAUGGUUGAAAAGAUCCAAUCAUGAUGCAUCCAACAUUAACUAUACACAAUGCACGAGGAUGACAAUAGUGCUCUCAGGUCCGAUGCUUGUUUGAGAAGGUGAUGACUCAACAUAAAAUUAAAUAGAUAGUCCCUUCGCAGAGGGAAGAAGGGAUUUGCAGAGGUGCCAGAGCUCAAAGCUUAAAACAGAUAUAAAUAUGAUUUUGGGAGGUACGCCCUUCCUAUCAAUGUUACGACCAAGAGUUAUCAAUACCUUCCAUGCUAAACACAUUAGCGGCGGUUCCCAAGCGAUAAAAGUAAAGGUUUACUCCCCCUCCACCAACAAAUACACUCCACGCACUACAAAAAAAAAUACAC